Non-coding RNA from Trichobilharzia regenti, 45 nucleotides. The record is from Rfam. NCBI's taxonomy places the organism in Eukaryota, Metazoa, Platyhelminthes, Trematoda, Strigeidida, Schistosomatidae.
AUCCAGAUGACGAGUCCCAAAUAGGACGAAAGGCACAUCCUGGAU